GGAAGUGUUCACAUACCCUGGCUCAGCAGGACAACAAAGAAUCUGUCAGGAUUCUUGCAGAAGAGCUGCCUGCAUUCUGUGACUAGGGGUUUUGCUUCUCUAUCUCCACCUGAGCAUCUGGCUGCCAGGAAAACAUCAGACAAACAGGACAUUCUACAAAGUACCUGACCAAUAUUCUUCAAAAUUGUAGAGGUCAAAAAAGAAAAGGAAAACUGAAGAACUGUCACAGAGGGGACUAACGUGUUACGACAACUCAGUGCACCAUGGAACCCUGCCUAGAUUCUGGAAAAGGACAUUAGUGGAGAAAUUAGGGAACUCUACAUAAAGUCCAAGUUUAGCUAAUAGUGAUAUACCAAUGUUACUAUGGCAGUUAGAUAUCUUAUUGUAAGAGGCCAUCUUAAUGUAAGAUGAAAACUGUGGGAAACUGAAACUGGAAUUCUGUCCUGCC
RNAcentral lists this long non-coding RNA (448 nucleotides) under Heterocephalus glaber (naked mole-rat). RNAcentral describes it as "lncRNA (ENSHGLG00100033182.1)". The record is from RNAcentral. Lineage: Eukaryota; Metazoa; Chordata; Mammalia; Rodentia; Bathyergidae.